This is an RNA transcript of Anthonomus grandis grandis, 5306 nucleotides long. It is a transcript of the gene named M-phase phosphoprotein 8, with no coding region annotated. The record is from RefSeq and is a predicted model, not a curated record. NCBI's taxonomy places the organism in Eukaryota, Metazoa, Arthropoda, Insecta, Coleoptera, Curculionidae. The transcript has 2 exons.
UUUCAACAAUUUCAAAAUGGCAGUUACAUUUUGAUGGUUCUGGUAGUGUUACCAAUUUUAUUGAGCGUGUAGAGGAGUUGGGUUUUGCUUGUGGAAUAUCUUGGAAUCAGCUGCUGCAUUGUGCAGUAAUUUUAUUUUCGGACACAGCCUUGUCUUGGUAUAGAUCUAUACGCAGUGAUAUCAGGUCAUGGGAAGAAUUGAAAUGUAAACUUAGGUCUGCCUAUUUAUCGUCAGAAUAUGAGGAGGAUAUUUGGUGUGAUAUAAGGAAUAGGACACAAGGUCCAGUGGAGAAGUCGGUAAUCUUUAUUGCACAAAUGCGAAACUUGUUUCGAAAGUUACGUGAACCUCCAUCCGAGGAAAUGCAACUUCGCAUUAUACGCCGAAAUUUGCUCCCCUCAUUGCAAAAUCAACUUGCACUUCACAAUUUCACCAACAUCACAGAGCUGGAACUUGCAGCACAAGAGAUUGAGAACAUCCAAUUGCGAACUCAACGCAUGCAACCUCCUCCAGUAAACCCUAAUAAUGUCGCCGAGCCUGAGUUGAUGUAUCAGCGACCAAGAAACCCUCGUGUACAUACAAUGAAUUCUUCACCGCACCUUCAGAAUUCUCGUGGUCCGGUGGUUUGUUGGAAUUGUCGUAGUACUGGCCAUUUGAGUAGUACUUGUCCACAACCCUUUCGUCGACACUGUUUCCGUUGCGGUCGGAAAAAUGUGACUACCCGUUCAUGUCCAAAUUGUAGUAGGUCGGGAAACCCAAGGGCGAACUGUUAGUUAGUCGAGAGAUCAGUUCGAUUCCUAAGGUCUCGACUAGUAACCCCAGCUACCCUAUUCUAGAUUACGCCUUCGCACAGUGCAAGGGUGAUGAUCGUCCUCAUCUCGAAGUCUCGAUAUUUGGUAUGAAAUUUAUUGGCUUAUUGGAUUCUGGAGCAAAUGUUACUGCUAUUGGUUUAAGCAUAUGGAAUAUAUUACAACGUUCAGACAUACAAUUGUUAUCAUCACCUUUUUUUCAGUGCAAUUUUGGAAAUCAUAGUUCUAGUAAAGUGAUUGGCGCAAUUAACUUACCUAUUGUUUUGUAUGAUAAGGUAGCGGUUUGCAGUGUUUUGGUAGUGGAGAAAUUGAGUUGUCCAUUGAUAUUGGGUACCGAUUUUUGGAAAACUGUUGGUGUCGUUCCUGAUUUGCAAAAUGGUUGUUGGUAUUUUGGUGUGCCGUCUCAGGACAUCUGUAUCACUGAAGCCAUUAUUCCUCAGGAAACUUUAACCCCAGAACAGCGAUCCGCCUUGGAUAAAUUGACUUCAAAAUACUUUUCUUUAAUGGGUGGUAAGCUUGGUCGAACAGAUUUAGUGAAGCAUCAGAUUAAUACUGGUAAUGCCCAAACCAUUCGUUUGCGCCCUUAUAGAUACUCACCCGCCACUCUAAAGAUUAUCGAUGAGGAGGUUGAUAACAUGCUGCAACUCGAUAUUAUCGAGCCAUCACAAUCUGCCUGGUCUUUCCCUGCCUUAGUAGUACCGAAAGGUAAUGGUAAAUGGAGAUUUUGCGUGGACUAUCGAAAACUAAAUUCUGUUACGGCUAAGGAUGCUUAUCCGAUCCCUUUUAUUGAUAGUAUUUUGGACAAAUUAAGAAAUGCAAAGUAUCUUACUUCGUUAGAUGUUAACUCUGCAUAUUGGCAAAUCGUUGAUGAACAUUCACGUGAUAAAACUAGUUUUUCUGUCCCUGGUCGGGGACUUUAUCGAUUUAAGAGAAUGCCAUUUGGGUUGACGAAUGCCCCUGCAACUUGGCAGCGAUUGGUAGAUACCUUAUUGGGAGCUGAUUUGGAGCCACAUGUCUUUGUUUAUUUAGAUGACGUAAUCUGUAUUUCUGAGACUUUUCAGCAACAUUUAGAGGUUUUGGAAGAGAUUUUCCAGAGAUUUCAUAGAGCCGGUAUAACACUCUCUCAGGAUAAGUGUAAAUUCUGUCGAUCCGAACUUAAGUAUUUAGGAUAUGUUGUCGAUAAAGAUGGACUUCAUGUCGACCCGGAUAAGGUGACAGCCGUAUUGAACAUUCCGACUCCAAAGAACACCACCGAAGUCCGACGUGUCAUCGGUAUGGCGUCCUGGUACAGGCGUUUUAUUCCUCAGUUCUCAACCGUUAUUUCUCCCCUUACCGCUCUUCUUUGUAAACACAAAAAGUGGAACUGGACCCCAGAAUGUCAAAAUUCGUUUCAGAACAUCAAAAAUUCGUUAGUUUCCGCUCCUGUACUUACUUGUCCUGAUUUCUCGAAACCCUUUUUGGUUCAGACUGAUGCCUCAGCGUAUGGGAUCGGUGCUGUAUUAUCUCAAGAGUUUGAUGAUGGUGAACAUGUUAUCUGUUACAUAUCUCGAUCUCUGUCUAAAGCAGAGAGGAAUUUUUCCACCACAGAGAGAGAACUGUUGGCCAUUAUUUAUGCUUGCGAGAAAUUACGACCCUACUUAGAGGGAUACUCCUUUAAAGUGAUAACAGAUCAUCAUAGUCUGAAAUGGAUUCAUAGUCUGAAGGAACCAACAGGACGGCUUGCCAGAUGGGUUUUGCGGUUGCAACAAUUCGAUUUUGAGGUUAUUCAUAGAAAGGGCCAAGAUCAUGUUGUGCCGGAUGUUCUCAGUAGAGCUGUGCCAGAGAUUGCUAAAUUGAGUGUAUACCAGGAACCAGAAGUUGCAGAUAAGUGGUAUCGAAGAGUUUUCAAUCAGGUCGUAGAGAAUCCUAUUAAUUAUCCCCAAUGGCGAAUUGAAGGAAAUUUACUUUACAAGUAUGUGAAAUGUUCUUACCCGUCUCUUCGAGAUGAUGAAGAUUUCUGGAAGGAAGUAGUACCCAAGGAUCGAAGACGUAUGAUUUUGGAAGAAAAUCAUGAUCAUCCUUUGGCUGGUCAUGGUGGUGUCAUGAAGACAUACGAACGAUUGAAGCGUCGUUAUUAUUGGCCAAAAAUGAGAGCUGAUGUCCUCCGAUAUGUUAGGCAUUGCGCCAAAUGUAUUUCGCAAAAGCCCCUCCGGGAGCGACACGGAUUAAUGGGACAACAAACUCAAGUUUUGAAGCCAUGGAACACGAUUAGCGUCGAUCUUUUUGGGCCCUUGCCUCGUUCUACUCAGGGAUACAAAUACGUAUUGGUCGUCUUGGAUACCUUCACUAAAUUUCCUUUGUUCUUCCCUCUUUGCUCAGCUAAGGCCCCUAUGAUUUGUCGUCUUAUAGAGGAACAAGUUUUUCUCAUUUUUGGUGUUCCCCAAUUUCUUAUUUGCGAUAAUGGUGCUCAAUUUCGAGGUGAACUUUUUUCCAAACUGUGUGAGCAGUAUAAGGUCAAUAUCCGAUAUACUCCGGCUUAUCAUCCCCAGGCCAACCCCGUGGAGCGUGUGAAUCAAGUCCUUAAAACCAUGUUAAGUUGUUAUAUUGAGGAUAAUCAUAAGAAUUGGGAUCGACUUCUACCUAAGGUUGGUUCUGCCAUAAGAUCUUCGGUGCAUGAAGCCACCGGGCUCACUCCCUAUUUUAUGAAUUUUUCCAGAGAAUAUAUGCCCUCGGGCGACCAACACAAUAAUAGGGAUGUUCCCAGUAUCACGGUUGGCGACUUUAUGGCACGUUCACGUGAAUUAAGUAAAGUAUAUAGGGACGUUGAGGAAAGACUGAAAGCGGCGCAUCAGAGAUCAAAGAAUCGUUAUAAUCUUCGACGAAGACCAAUUAGUUUUGAGAUCGGUGAGCGAGUUUAUCGCAAAAAUUACGAUCUUUCUGAUGCUAGUAAAAACUUUACCGCCAAACUCGCACCAAAAUUUUUGGGCCCCUUUACAAUAAAGAAGAAGUUAUCUCCGGUAGUCUAUGAACUGAUUGACGAAAAGCGCAAGUUUAAGGGUGCUUGGCAUGUUAAAGAUUUGAAAAAGAUCCCAAAAGAAGAGCUACUCGUUGAUUCCGAUUCCGAUUAGACUUUAUCGAUUUUGCUUACUGGUCGGGACGUAUGUUUUUUUUUUGUGUUUUACUUAUUAGUUCUUUUGAUUUUUCAAUUCUAAUAUAAUUUCUUUUUCUCCAGUUUCUUUCCUCAAAGCUGUGCGGACUGGGUAUUUUGAUGUUUUUGCGGUUAUUGGAUAGUAGCUACCUUGUUUGUUUUUCUCUUUCUAGUGAAGUUUCUUGUGGUAAAGGCCUACCACUUGAAGCAUUUUAGAUUUCCGAUUAGGAAUUCUAUCAGAAAUUACUAGAAAUUUUGUGUUAUUUGGUAUUUCGUUGGUUAUUAUAGUAUUAUUAUUUCAUGAGUCAAUCAAUUUGAAGUUUUAAUUUUUCUGACUUAUUUUAAUGCUUGAAUAGCAUUUUUAAAUAAUUAGAUUGUUCGCACAUUCUUUACUUCCCUUCCCAGUUGGAUGCUUACUUCUCUUCGCAUGAGAAUUACUUUUCUGGUAAUUCUCUUGGGGGAAGAGGGGGAGUUGUUGCAGGAUUAAUUACGCUUUAGACGGGAUCUGGAGAAUCCUAACUUUUAUUCAUUUGGUUAAAAUAUUUAAAAAUGACUUUAUUCUAAAUUUUUCUUUCAAAACUGAGACACCCACCAUAAUUACAAUUGCCUUCGACUCUUAAUGGAAUUCGCCAAUAUUUUUCAUUAAACCACUAUCAAUAUUAUCACCAUUUUAAUUCUUUGUUAUUGUUUACAAUAUGCGGUGCAUGGAGAAGAUUUCACGGCAAUUGAAUUGGUCAACCGGUUUACUAAAGCGGACGCCAGUGGCGCCGCGUGUCGAAUUAUUACGAUUUGGCCCGUAAUUGUACUUUCCACUAGGCACUCUAUGGUUUGCUUAUUAGUGACCUAUGUAUGGGUUUUGGUUGGGCCCAUAGCGGCUAAACCCAUAAAGUAAUGAGUGAAGUUCCUCAAUCUCCGGUCUUGCGCCCAGACGUCUUUUGGACUACUACUUAAGCAGUUCCGCGACGCAUCUGGGGGUCUUUCCAGCUCCUGCGUCCGUCAAGAGUGUACCGUGCUGCCCGCUGUGACGGAGAGAGGUUUGAAAUAAAUCUAUUAUCAUCUCUCUCCGCCAGCACCUUUUUUGUUAAAAUAACAUCUAAAACUAAAAUGCAUUAGUGUUUCUUCAGUUUCAACGAAAUAUUUUUGAAGCAGGAUGGGUUUUAGUAGUUUGAUGCCUCUCGAAACUUCGGCUCCUUAAAUAUGACAGUGUAAACCGCCAGCCGUGACCCAGCAGUGAUGAGGAUUUCGCCCUGAAGCCUGAAAAAUAAUUUCGCCCUUAGCCCCGUCAACACACAUCAUGCCGUAAGCCCUAUGUGGUGAAAAAUUGCCCAUCGCGGGCUCUCGCCCCCGAAAGAAGAACACCAUGGAACUUGACC